CCUGUUGCCACAAACCCGUAGAUCCGAACUUGUGGUGUUAGUCUGCACAAGCUUGUGUCUAUAGGUAUGUGUCUGUUAGG
This is a microRNA precursor of Aotus nancymaae (Ma's night monkey), 80 nucleotides long. Lineage: Eukaryota; Metazoa; Chordata; Mammalia; Primates; Aotidae. The record is from Ensembl.